GGAAGAGGCCUGGGCUAGCAGAUGGCUAUAGAGAGUAAGAAGGUUUCUGUGGAUGAUGAGGAGUUGCUGCUUGUGAGCAGGAACACAGACCCUUGGGAAGAAGAGGCUCUGCCUAGCUAGAUACUGGGCCAUUGUGGUGAAUCUGGCUGGCUGGCUGCAGGCUCAGAAAGAUAAUACUGCAUCAGGAAGUGAUCAGUCCACUUAGCAAGAUGCAGGAAGGGUGUUCUGAGACUGAUCUGCUUCAAGCCUUGAAAUGAAGUGGGGCAGAUCCUGGGCCUGGCUGAGACCUUGUUCAAUCUCCAGGAAAACUUAACACAGCCUAAAGGCUGCUCUAAAUUAUGCAAGCGGGGAUAGUCCCCUGGGGACGACAGUGCUGAC
This is a long non-coding RNA of Mauremys reevesii (Reeves's turtle), 378 nucleotides long. RefSeq lists it as uncharacterized. Lineage: Eukaryota; Metazoa; Chordata; Testudines; Geoemydidae. The record is from RefSeq and is a predicted model, not a curated record. The transcript has 3 exons.